GAUGAACGCUGGCGGCGUGCCUAAUACGUGCAAGUCGAGCGAACAGACGAGGAGCUUGCUCCUCUGAUGUUAGCGGCGGACGGGUGAGUAACACGUGGAUAACCUACCUAUAAGACUGGGAUAACUUCGGGAAACCGGCGCUAAUACCGUAUAACAUGUUGAACCGCAUGGUUCAACAGUGAAAGACGGUCUUGCUGUCACUUAUAGAUGGAUCCGCGCCGCAUUAGCUAGUUGGUAAGGUAACGGCUUACCAAGGCAACGAUGCGUAGCCGACCUGAGAGGGUGAUCGGCCACACUGGAACUGAGACACGGUCCAGACUCCUACGGGAGGCAGCAGUAGGGAAUCUUCCGCAAUGGGCGAAAGCCUGACGGAGCAACGCCGCGUGAGUGAAGAAGGUCUUCGGAUCGUAAAACUCUGUUAUUAGGGAAGAACAAAUGUGUAAGUAACUAUGCACGUCUUGACGGUACCUAAUCAGAAAGCCACGGCUAACUACGUG
This 497-nucleotide ribosomal RNA is filed under the name uncultured bacterium. Its description in RNAcentral is "partial 16S ribosomal RNA". It matches the Rfam family "Bacterial small subunit ribosomal RNA", at positions 28 to 507 of the family's 1533-position model. The record is from RNAcentral.